RNAcentral lists this ribosomal RNA (497 nucleotides) under uncultured bacterium. RNAcentral describes it as "partial 16S ribosomal RNA". It matches the Rfam family "Bacterial small subunit ribosomal RNA", at positions 28 to 507 of the family's 1533-position model. The record is from RNAcentral.
GAUGAACGCUGGCGGCGUGCCUAAUACAUGCGAGUCGAGCGAACAGACGAGGAGCUUGCUCCUCUGACGUUAGCGGCGGACGGGUGAGUAACACGUGGCUAACCUACCUAUAAGACCGGGAUAACUGCGGGAAUCCUGCGCUAAUCGCGGAUAAUAUAUUGAACCGCAUGGUUCAAUAGUGAAAGACGGUUUUGCUGUCACUUAUAGAUGGAUCCGCGCCGCAUUAGCUAGUUGGCAAGGUAACGGCUUACCAAGGCACCUAUGCGUGGCCGACCUGAGCGGGUGCACGGCCACACUGUACCUGAGACACGGUCCAGUCGCCUACGGGAGGCCGCAGUAGGGAAUCUUCCGCAGUAGGCGAAAGCCUGACGGAGUAGCGCCGCGUGAGUUGUGACGGUCUUCGGAUCGUAAAACUCUGUUAUUAGGGAAGAACAUAUUUGUAAGUUGCUAUGCACGUCUUGACGGUACCUAAUCAGAAAGCCACGGCUAACUACGUG